This 561-nucleotide small RNA is filed under the name Pongo abelii (Sumatran orangutan). Its description in RNAcentral is "retained intron". Lineage: Eukaryota; Metazoa; Chordata; Mammalia; Primates; Hominidae. The record is from RNAcentral.
UUUGUGCCAAUUAAACAUUUACAUAUAAGUAAUAGUUCUCUGAAUUAUUUAAGCAAUUUUGUUCUUAAUCCAAACAUGUAUAUGAUCUCUUAUUUUCAUAUUAGUAGGUAUUCUCAUAAAAUGGAAGAAUUGUUUAUUUCUUGGCUAGUUUUGUCUCCCAAAGAAAGAUGAUUGGAAAAAUAAUGAAUAUUUUUAAAGAGCAGUUUUCAGACAUUUCUGUUAGUAAUAGCAGACUUGUUGGAAGUUAUGGUUUUUGUUUGUUUGAUUUUGUUUAAACUGGUAUGACUUUUGUGUGUAAUUGUUUUAUUGCCAACAGUUUUGUAUGGUUUACUUCCACAUAGCUGACUUCUUUCCUAUGCUCUUUGAACAGAAAAGAGGCCCAGAAAUGUUUCUGCGGAUCAGCCAAUUGCCGGGGUUACCUGGGAGGAGAAAACAGAGUCAGCAUCAGAGCAGCAGGAGGGAAAAUGAAGAAGGAACGAUCUCGUAAGAAAGAUUCAGUGGAUGGAGAGCUAGAAGCUCUGAUGGAAAAUGGUGAGGGUCUCUCUGAUAAAAACCAGGUGC